This 2898-nucleotide ribosomal RNA is filed under the name Clostridioides difficile. RNAcentral's name for it is "23S ribosomal RNA". It matches the Rfam family "Bacterial large subunit ribosomal RNA". RNAcentral also lists the same sequence under 1 other name. The record is from RNAcentral. Lineage: Bacteria; Bacillati; Bacillota; Clostridia; Peptostreptococcales; Peptostreptococcaceae.
GGUCAAGUUAUUAAGGGUGCAGGGCGGAUGCCUUGGCACUAGGAGCCGAUGAAGGACGUGAUAAGCUGCGAUAAGCUUCGGGGAGUUGCACGUAAACUUUGAUCCGAAGAUUUCCGAAUGAGGAAACUCACUUAGAGUAAUGUCUAAGUAUCAUUAAGUGAAUACAUAGCUUAAUGAGGGGAACUCAGGGAACUGAAACAUCUAAGUACCUGAAGGAAGAGAAAGAAAUUCGAUUCCGUAAGUAGCGGCGAGCGAACGCGGAUUAGCCCAAACCAAUAAAGUUUUCUUUAUUGGGGUUGCGGACAUAUCAUAACGAAGAGGUAUCGUAAUUGAAGAGGUUUGGAAAGACCCACCACAGAAGGUAAUAGUCCUGUAUGUUAAACGAGAAGACUUCAGAUAUGAUCCAGAGUACCACGGGACACGUGAAACCCUGUGGGAAGCAGGAGGGACCACCCUCCAAGGCUAAAUACUACCUAGUGACCGAUAGCGUAUAGUACCGUGAGGGAAAGGUGAAAAGAACCCCGGGAGGGGAGUGAAAUAGAACCUGAAACCCUGCACUUACAAGCUGUGGAAGCACAUUUCUUGUGUGACCGCGUACUUUUUGUAGAACGGGCCAACGAGUUACGUUAAGUAGCAAGGUUAAGCACUUAAGGUGCGGAGCCGUAGCGAAAGCGAGUUUUAACUGAGCGUUCAGUUACUUGACGUAGACCCGAAACCGGGCGACCUACCCAUGAGCAGGAUGAAGCGAAAGUAAAAUUUCGUGGAGGUCCGAACCCACGAGCGUUGAAAAGCUCGGGGAUGACUUGUGGGUAGCGGUGAAAUUCCAAUCGAGCCCGGAGAUAGCUGGUUCUCCCCGAAAUAGCUUUAGGGCUAGCCUCAAGGUGAGAGAUACGGAGGUAGAGCACUGAAUGUCCUAGGGGGUAUUGCACCUACCGAAGACUAUCAAACUCCGAAUGCCGUCAUCUUAUACUUGGGAGUCAGACUGUGGGUGAUAAGAUUCAUAGUCGAAAGGGCAACAGCCCAGAUCGUCAGCUAAGGUCCCUAAAUGUAAGUUAAGUGGUAAAGGAUGUGGGAUUGCACAGACAACCAGGAUGUUGGCUUAGAAGCAGCCACUCAUUCAAAGAGUGCGUAAUAGCUCACUGGUCGAGUGAUCCUGCGCCGAAGAUUUCCGGGGCUAAAACUUACUACCGAAGCUACGGCAUCAGUAAUGAUGGGUAGGGGAGCUUCCCAUACGGGUUGAAGCAUGACCGUAAGGACAUGUGGACAGUAUGGGAGUGAGAAUGUUGGCAUGAGUAGCGAGAUGUGGGUGAGAAUCCCACAGGCCGUAAACCCAAGGUUUCCAGGGGAAGGUUCGUCCGCCCUGGGUUAGUCGGGACCUAAGCUGAGGCCGAAAGGCGUAGGUGAUGGACAACAGGUUGAUAUUCCUGUACUACCGAUAACCGUUUGAGAGAAGGGAUGACACAGUAGGAUAAGCUAAGCACACUGUUGGUUAUGUGUGCCCAAGCAUUGAGGCAGUCAAAGUAGGCAAAUCCGCUUUGAUAAUGCUGGGAUGUGAUGGGGAGCGAAAUUUAGUAGCGAAGUAGCUGAUUUCACACUGUCAAGAAAAGUCUCUAUCGAGGUUAAAGGUACCCGUACCGCAAACCGACACAGGUGGGUGAGGAGAGUAUCCUAAGGCCAGCGAGAGAACUGUUGUUAAGGAACUCGGCAAAAUGACCCCGUAACUUAGGGAUAAGGGGUGCCACCAUCAGGUGGCCGCAGAGAAUAGGCCCAAGCGACUGUUUACCAAAAACAUAGGUUUCUGCUAAGUCGCAAGACGAUGUAUAGGAGCUGACGCCUGCCCGGUGCUGGAAGGUUAAGGGGAUCUGUUAGAGCAAUCGAAGCAGUGAACUUAAGCCCCAGUAAACGGCGGCCGUAACUAUAACGGUCCUAAGGUAGCGAAAUUCCUUGUCGGGUAAGUUCCGACCCGCACGAAAGGCGUAACGAUUUGGGCACUGUCUCAACAACAGACUCGGUGAAAUUGUAAUUCCGGUGAAGAUGCCGGAUACCUGCGACAGGACGGAAAGACCCCAUGGAGCUUUACUGUAGCUUGACAUUGGGUCUUGGUACUACAUGUACAGGAUAGGUGGGAGGCUUUGAAACCAGGACGCCAGUUUUGGCGGAGCCAUCCUUGGGAUACCACCCUUGUAGUACUGGGACUCUAACCAUAGGCCAUGAAUCUGGUCUUGGGACACUGUCAGGUGGGCAGUUUGACUGGGGCGGUCGCCUCCCAAAAGGUAACGGAGGCGCUCAAAGGUUCUCUCAGUACGGUCGGAAAUCGUACGUAGAGUGUAAAGGCAAAAGAGAGCUUGAUUGCAAGACAUACAGGUCGAGCAAGGAUGAAAAUCGGACUUAGUGAUCCGGUGGUUCUGCGUGGAAGGGCCAUCGCUCAACGGAUAAAAGCUACCCUGGGGAUAACAGGCUUAUCUCCCCCAAGAGUCCACAUCGACGGGGAGGUUUGGCACCUCGAUGUCGGCUCAUCACAUCCUGGGGCUGUAGUAGGUCCCAAGGGUUGGGCUGUUCGCCCAUUAAAGUGGUACGCGAGCUGGGUUCAGAACGUCGUGAGACAGUUCGGUCCCUAUCCGUCGCAGGCGUAGGAAAUUUGAGAAGACCUGUCCUUAGUACGAGAGGACCGGGAUGGACGUACCUCUGGUGUACCAGUUGUCCUGCCAAGGGCAUGGCUGGGUAGCUAUGUACGGAAUGGAUAAGCGCUGAAAGCAUCUAAGCGCGAAGCCAACUUCAAGAUAAGAUUUCCCACCGCAAGGGUAAGACUCCAGAAAGACUAUCUGGUUGAUAGGUCGAAGGUGUAAGUGCAGCAAUGUAUUUAGCUUAUCGAUACUAAUAGGUCGAGGACUUGACCAA